CGGCUCAGUAACACGUGGAUAACCUACCCUUGAGACGGGGAUAAACCCGGGAAACUGGGUAUAAUACCCGAUAGAUCUCGACUGCUGGAAUGCAUCGAGCUUGAAAGCUCCGGCGCUCAAGGAUGGGUCUGCGGCCUAUCAGGUAGUAGUGGGUGUAGCGUACCUACUAGCCUACGACGGGUACGGGUUGUGAGAGCAAGAGCCCGGAGAUGGAUUCUGAGACACGAAUCCAGGCCCUACGGGGUGCAGCAGGCGCGAAAACUUUACAAUGCUGGAAACAGCGAUAAGGGGACCUCGAGUGCCAGGUUAUAAAUCUGGCUGUCGUGAUGCCUAAAAAGCAUUGCAUAGCAAGGGCCGGGCAAGACCGGUGCCAGCCGCCGCGGUAACACCGGCGGCUCGAAUGGUAACCGUUAUUAUUGGGUCUAAAGGGUCUGUAGCCGGCCGGAUAAGUCUCUUGGGAAAUCUGGCAGCUUAACUGUCAGGCUUUCAGGAGAUACUGUCUGGCUCGAGGCCGGGAGAGGUGAGAGGUACUUCAGGGGUAGGGGUGAAAUCUUGUAAUCCUUGAAGGACCACCAGUGGCGAAGGCGUCUCACCAGAACGGACCUGACGGCAAGGGACGAAAGCUAGG
This 628-nucleotide ribosomal RNA is filed under the name uncultured Methanosaeta sp. RNAcentral's name for it is "bacterial SSU rRNA". It matches the Rfam family "Archaeal small subunit ribosomal RNA", at positions 83 to 715 of the family's 1478-position model. The record is from RNAcentral. Lineage: Archaea; Methanobacteriati; Methanobacteriota; Methanomicrobia; Methanotrichales; Methanotrichaceae.